GAUUAGUCUGGAACUGUUGCAUCCAUGAGCUGACCUAAGGAUAAACCAUGAAGGAGCCUCCCAUGUGCAUUUGGAAUGGAAAAUAUAUAGGACCUUAAUGACAAAUACAGAAGAAAUUCCAGAGUCAAGGUUUUAGAACUUGCAUAAGAAUUUUAGAUCACCCAAGAGAAGGUGACCAGUUUAGG
Molecule: long non-coding RNA, 185 nt
Filed under: Capra hircus (goat)
Lineage: Eukaryota; Metazoa; Chordata; Mammalia; Artiodactyla; Bovidae
Description: lncRNA (ENSCHIG00000004350.1)
Source: RNAcentral